ACCACUCUUAAUUUCUCUCUGUCUCGUUUACACAUCUCUCCAACCUUUCACUUUCGUUUCUCAGUUUUAUUCGAAUCCCUCUCUCAAUCUCCUUUCCAAAUGGCCAGCGUUGAGGUAAUUCAAAGACACAGUUUCGUUGUUUAUAAUUUUGCCUCAGCUGGUUUUGUACAUUCCUUUAUUACUCCAACGUGUGUAGCAGUGGUAGUACUUUAUAUGGUUCCUACGUGCACACGGUGAAACUCAACACUUUAGUAACUAACUGUAUAUAUACAACUGUUUCUUCACUUUCUUACUUUCUUUGUUGUGAUUCAUUAUCGAUCAAAGAACCAGUUUGGUUUUUUAUUACGUGCGAACGUACGAUCUAGCAAGUUAUGUAUGCGAUGGUACUAGCUAGUCUUAAUAUACCGCACUUUGAUUUUAAUUUCUUUUUGGUUUCUCCCGAUCUAUCUUUGUUUUUGUUGCUGCGGUGUUUGAUAACCAUCAUUAUAUACGAAGCAUAAAUUAUAUAUUACUGCGGUCAACCACUUAAACUACACGAGAUUUGAGGGGAUCAACUUGUUUCAUAGCUUUCUUAAUUGAUCAUUGAUUAAUUGAAUAUAUAUAAAUCACGAACCAUUUUCCAGUUGAUGAUCAACAUCUGAAAUAUUCAUCGGUGUGUGGAAUUGGAUUGUGAUUAGCAGUUCUAUGUGGACCUAGUUUUUUGUUUUUGUUUAUAUAAUCACAGUUGCAUCAUCAGAAACAAAAAACAUUGAUCAAUUUAUUACGUAAGCUUUUUUUCUUGUUUUUUUUUCGCUAAAUAGGCUAUUGUUAAUUUCUUUAAAGCUCAAAAACCAACAUAUCCCAGCUAGUUGUAGAAGCUAAUUAACUCCCCCGUAGCCACGUUGAACUUCUUCAAGCUUAAAACUUAAAAGAAAAGGAGAACAAUUAAUUAUAUCACCAAGUUGACACUUUAAUUUAUAAGUCCUAUUAAUUUCAUAGUAGUAUUAAACAAUUUACGUUUAUCUUAUAAGUAAUGAGUUUUGUACUGCACCCCAUUUAUCUUAAUAUCUCAUGAACUAUUUCUCUUUAUUUUUUUAUUCCUAUCACAUUUCUUUAUUUUAUCUCACCUUCUAAGUGUCAAAUAGGUUUUUAUUGGGUGUGCAAAAGUCAUUUUAGUUAUCUUAUAACACAUUGUGCUAGUGCUGAUCAUGUGAUGUUUCACUUGUGUGUCUCUAUAGUCUAUACCAUCAAGUUAUUUGUUUCUCAUGUUUACAAAUCCACCUUUGUUUAAGCUUGGCACUAGAAGACUUUGUUAAAUAAAAUUAGAAAUCUCACAGGUUGCACAGCAAACACCAACAACAGUUCCAGAAAAUGAAACAACCGAGGUAAGCAAGACCCAGGAAACAACCCCAGUCACUGAGGCUCCUGCAACAGAACAACCAGCAGCUGAGGUUCCUGCAACAGAACAACCAGCCGCUGAGGCUCCUGCCCCAGAAUCAACCACCGAAGCACCAAAGGAAGAAACCACCGAGGCACCAACAGAAACAGUAGAAAAAACAACUACAGAAGUAGCCCCAGAGGAGCCUAAAGAAGUUCCAGUUGAGACCGAGGAGGUGGUGGCAAAGGAGACAGAGGAAGAGAAGCCAGCAGAAGAGAAAUCAGAGGAGAAAACUGAAGAAGUGAAAGAAGAAGCAGAGGAGCCUAAAGAAACUACUGAAACAGAAUCAGCAGCAGCAGCACCACCAGCAACCACAGAGGAAGAGAACAAACCAGCUGAGUCAGUUGAAACCCCAGUAGAGGUUCCUGUUGAGAAGACUGAAGCUUAGACCUAUGGACAGUGUGAGUGAGAAAAACAAGUUUAAAAAUGG
This 1847-nucleotide long non-coding RNA is filed under the name Glycine max (soybean). RNAcentral describes it as "long non-coding RNA (GMAX_LNC003380)". The record is from RNAcentral. Lineage: Eukaryota; Viridiplantae; Streptophyta; Magnoliopsida; Fabales; Fabaceae.